UAGGGAAUCUUCGGCAAUGGACGGAAGUCUGACCGAGCAACGCCGCGUGAGUGAAGAAGGUUUUCGGAUCGUAAAGCUCUGUUGUAAGAGAAGAACGAGUGUGAGAGUGGAAAGUUCACACUGUGACGGUAUCUUACCAGAAAGGGACGGCUAACUACGUGCCAGCAGCCGCGGUAAUACGUAGGUCCCGAGCGUUGUCCGGAUUUAUUGGGCGUAAAGCGAGCGCAGGCGGUUAGAUAAGUCUGAAGUUAAAGGCUGUGGCUUAACCAUAGUAGGCUGUGGAAACUGUUUAACUUGAGUGCAAGAGGGGAGAGUGGAAUUUCAUGUGUAGCGGUGAAAUGCGUAGAUAUAUGGAGGAACACCGGUGGCGAAAGCGGCUCUCUGGCUUGUAACUGACGCUGAGGCUCGAAAGCGUGGGGAGCAAACAGGAUUAGAUACCCUGGUAGUCCACGCUGUAAACGAUGAGUGCUAGGUGUUAGACCCUUUCCGGGGUUUAGUGCCGUAGCUAACGCAUUAAGCACUCCGCCUGGGGAGUACGACCGCAAGGUUG
This 550-nucleotide ribosomal RNA is filed under the name uncultured bacterium. RNAcentral describes it as "bacterial SSU rRNA". It matches the Rfam family "Bacterial small subunit ribosomal RNA", at positions 355 to 896 of the family's 1533-position model. The record is from RNAcentral.